Brassica rapa (field mustard) is the source of this 3682-nucleotide long non-coding RNA. RefSeq lists it as uncharacterized. NCBI's taxonomy places the organism in Eukaryota, Viridiplantae, Streptophyta, Magnoliopsida, Brassicales, Brassicaceae. The record is from RefSeq and is a predicted model, not a curated record.
UCUUUGAAAGUGUCGUUGAAGGAGAUCAUGUGACCAUCCUUCUCCGUAUCGACAAGCACUCCAUAGCAGUCGAAGAGAAGAGCAUAUGGGAGAUUCGCCGGAGAAGAUGAAGCAGAUCAAAUGAUUCCCCCGGAACGAGAUGCUCUCUGUAUUAUUCUAUGUUUUGCUUUGAGGCACUUCCCCAGGAAUCGCGACUUAGACGGAGAAGGUGUCGCGUUAAAGGCACGCGCCGCAUUAGGGAUGAAAGAUGCGGCUGAUAGCUUAGGUUGAGUUGAAGAAGAAGAAGAAGAAGAAGAUGGUGAAGGAGAUAAUUUCAGAGUCGCCAUUGUUUGAGUCUCUCUCUCUUUAUCAAUUUUUCUAUAUCCGUCUGCAGGGAAUUAUAACGGUCGGAGAUGUCUUUAACUCUAUCCGGUCUCGCGCUAACGACCACAUGAUAUAACCACCUGGUUCUGGUCGGGUUAGGGUAGGGUACUUUCCUAAUCAAAAACCGGGUUUGAUCUUUUUUGGUUCUACAAUUUUGUGCAGAAAACAUCUCGAUGAAGCUGGUAGGUAAUCAAUUUUUUUUUAUCGAAAGCUAAUAUCAAAAUGGUAAAUUAGGAUAUACCUGUUAUAGAAGACAAAAUUAACAGGACAUCUCAAUCAUCUUGUUUACAACAACUAUAGACAAACUUGCUAUAAUCAGUACGACCAAUCUAGAAACGCCAUCAAGCUCAUCUUGUAUCUCACAUGUAUUUCACGGACUCACACUAUUCUGAACAGGUCCGAUUGUGAUUUUAACUUUGUUGGCUUUAGAGGAUUUAUAGUUUAAUUCUAAAGAUUUUAAAGUUUGUGUUUUACCGAUCAGACUUUAAGAUUUCUAAAGUUCUAAAAGCUUUCCUAAAAAAUUUCAAAGACAAAAUAACUAAUUUUACUCUUAACUGACUUGUUUUUUUUUUCAAAGACACAAAUUUAGGCUUUUAACAAUUUCUAGAGCCAUUUUAAUUUUUUAAAAGCCAAAAGUUUUAACAUCUAAGGGCAAGAUUAUCGGUGUCCUUAGAGGGAUAUCUUAGCAAUUAAACACUCAUAAUUAAAUGAAAAAUAACCAAUAAAAACAAGGACGCCUCUUAAUUAAGAAGUUUUCGGUGUGGUCCUUACGAGCCACGUGUAGGUCUGAGAUUCACUUCGAAAACAAAUAGGUUCUCUCUCGAAGGCGAUUCUAGCGGCGACGAUUCGAGCGGCUCUCUCGACGGCGGUUCUCUCUCGACGCCACAUCUCUCUGGACGGCGCUUCUCUCUCAACGGUUCUCUUCUCGUUGAUUUUGAUCGCAGUCCAGAGGAUCUGUUGUUUCAUCCACAGCUUUUUCUGCGAUUCAAAGGUGAAUAAUCUACCUGUUUUGCUGAAGUUAAUAACUUCAUCGGGAGUAUCUUCGAUCCUGACAGCAAAGGCCGCAUGAAAAAGCUCAAGGAAAUGGAUCCUAUAAAUUUCGAAACUGUACUGAUAUUGAUGAGAAACCUCACAGUGAAUAUGUCAAAUCCUGAUUUCGAACCUUCUUCUGAUGUUGCAGAGGAAGGUUCAGAACACUUAAGCUCUUAGCUCUUGUAUGGGAUCUUUGGCCAAGAACCAAACAAGUGAUAUAUCUUUCUUGAUGGGCUUCUUGCUCACAACAACGUAACUGUGUAUAUCAACUGAUAUAUAUAUAUAUAUAUAUAUAUUUAUUUGUUCAUGCGUUUUGUAAUUUGUAGUUUUCUUUAUUGGUUAUUUUUUUGUCAUAUAUUGAAACCAAAGACAAUGUAUCAGCUAGCAAAUGCCACUAAAUUCAUAAAGAGACACAUGAGUCUGUUUGUAUCUUAUUAAAAAUCCUACCAAUAAUCAACUCUUUUGUGAUUGUCCUUAACUUUGUCUCUUACCAACCAAAAAUUAUUUAAAUAAGCUAGGGACUCAAAACUAAGGACAAUCAAUAAUGUUGCUCUAACCUAAAAUUAAAAGUCUCAACAGUAAAAGUGUUGAAAGUCAAAAACAAUCGGACUCAACAUCUGCCCCAUGUACCUGCAAUUCUAUUCUUAUGAAAAAUUGUUUUUAGUAUGACCAAACGUCCGUAAUGUAUCAACGCAUACAAAACAUUUGACUGGUCUACUGGUAAUGGAACUCUAACUAACCUGAAUCUAUGGCUCACGAACCAUUCCCUGAACAUGAUGCCCUGCGUAGCUAGGCUCCUGAUUAUUUCUCCAGACUUCCUAAUCCCAUUGACACAUCUCUUUAGAAUCAUGUGGAUCUUUAAAGUAGCUGAAUCUAACAAUUGCGUUUAUCCUCACAUUCAUUGAGCCAAACUUAGUGAAACAGUAGACACUGGACCUAAGAACUUCUCCAUUAUAUUUGUCUGAUGAAUAAACGAAGGGGAAGUUGGAGCUCUUAUGAAAAUAGAACGGCGACGCAAACGGGAUCACACUGGAAGUAGCCUCCAGAAAAAACCUUAGUGUUUUAUUUCAUCUUUGUGUUUUGGAUCUUCUCGCGCAUAACCAUUGCCUUGAUGUCUGGAGAUAAUCUUCUACAUUCAUUGUGACAUGCCAUCUUCAGACUCCUGCAGCAAUCUAUCAUUUAGCAAAAAUGCAGAAAUAUUAUUGUUAUUGUAAAUUUGAGUUUGGGUAAGCAGAAAGCGACCUGUAUAAUAAUGGAGUGCGGAGGUGGCAUAUGGAUUUUGAGACCAUCCUCUCUUUAUACAGAUAUCCGAAAAUGCAACAUUGGAAACCAAUACAAACCAAUAUAUACUCGUAUAUAUACUCACAGAUGCUAGUGUUUCAUAUAGUAUAGUUGAUGCUUUUCUUUCCACCUUGGGAACAAACUUGUUCCCAGUAGCUGAAAGGGUCUCUCAUCUCAUAAUUUGUCACCAAUAAACACUUUCGACUUUGAAACAUAUCCAUGGGAAUUUACUCAUCCUUUGAAUCAAAGUCAGCAAGAACAUAGAAAAAAAGAUUGGCUUCAAUACCUAUCACAAAUUAUAGUACCAAAACCUUGGCUCAAGAAUUGGAAAUCAAUACUUAAAAUAAAAGAUCAUGAUCGGAACUCACCAGAGUUAAGUUGCCAUCCAUAGGAUCAGGGGUCUUGUAGCGAAGCAGAUAGACAGUGGUGGUUUUGCACUGAUGAGAGAUCUAAAAUUCUUGCUCGAAUAUGAGAUCAAGAGAAAUUGGAGGAAUCUUCUUAGAGAGGUUUUCUUCGCCUCACCAAGGGUAACCUGAGACAGAACACGCCACAACAAUCAACACUUUAAGAAUCUUUCAAGAAAACACGUUGGUAUUGAUACAGACCUGAGCGACAUAGAACAUAUACCCAUCUUCUUGUUUGACAUUGUUGAUGGGCUUUCCAUGCUUAAUCUCAGUACCUACAUAAGAAAAUAUGUUAAAACAAAAGCUCACAGAAGAUAAUGUUUUGGAACUGAACACACUAUUAAGUAUUCACUUAUGACCAAACCAAAAGUCCAGUUUUAACACAAGACAAUGCUUAUAGAGAGGUUUCAAUACAGACUAAAGCAAUACAUGCAUAAGCAAUAAGAACAAAUAAGCUCGUGUAAACCUACAUUUAAAUCUCAAGGCGAAAAGAUUUAUGAAACGAUAUUCAUGACGGAAAAACAACAUGAUGGAAACGGUCAGUAGAAGAGGCCACACUGAUGUUGAAUAGAAGUUAUAAAGGGUUACUUUCAUAAAGACAU